This 312-nucleotide long non-coding RNA is filed under the name Rhinopithecus bieti (black snub-nosed monkey). RNAcentral's name for it is "lncRNA (ENSRBIG00000046389.1)". The record is from RNAcentral. Lineage: Eukaryota; Metazoa; Chordata; Mammalia; Primates; Cercopithecidae.
CAGGACCAGUGCAAUGGACAUCUUGCCACAACGUAAGCUGCACAUGUGUCUGUCACUUUGCAGGCUAGGUGGCCGAAGCUUGAUUUGAGUGUCAGCAAGUUAAAACUCAGGCACAUCCAUCUUUCCUGAGGCUCACUCUGAUUGCAGAGGUUGGGGAAGAGAUACUAGAUGGAAGCCCUUCAGGAGGCCCUUGCCAUGAUCCAGGUGAUAUCCUGCAAAGCUGGAAAUCACUGAGACCACUGAAGGAGAUACAUACAUAUAGCUAAAGAACCUCACAUCAUAGCAUGCCUGGAAAACAAAUAAACAAAUGAA